GGGGAGUUCAGUGGGAAGAAGAAACCUAAUCUAACGUGGCUGGGAGUGACCCUUUGCACAGCAAAAAUUGGUUAAAAAUCAAGAGAAAAUGGUUGUCUGUAAACGGGGGAAGAGAUGGGGUCGUACCAAGAAAAAGAGCUAAAGCUGACCUCUUUUUUACUUUGGGAAUGAGCUGUAAGUCAGAAGGCAAGCCUGAGUCUGAGGAUCUACUAGUGAUGGCAGAAUCUCCUGAAGGAUUGGAGUUGGUGGCCAAGGUUGAGGUCAAGGUCCCAAAGGAGGGCACAAGCAAGGCACAUGGAAAAGAAAUGAAGAGGAAAAAACACAGUAACUUAAUGACCUGGCUAUAAGUUACAGAGUGAAAGCAAAUACAAAAUUUGAAACUCGGACCUUCCAUUUCAUCAGCAUUUUUGAAAAUACAAGUGAGUGUUUUUAGUCAUCUUGCAAGUUGAUCCAUUGACUCGGAAACAGACAAUGGUGAAGGCAGCAGUGUCAUUUUGAUUAAAAAUAAGGUUGGGAGUUGUCUCACAAAUGAAAAGUGGGCUGUUUUGGCUUUCUACCAUGGAGGAGGAACUUGAAGGAGAAAAUUGGUCGACCUUCUCCAUUCCCUGGAGCAUCGGCAAGGCAGCAGAGGACAAUGGAGAACAUGUUUGCCG
Long non-coding RNA from Meriones unguiculatus (Mongolian gerbil), 653 nucleotides. RefSeq lists it as uncharacterized. NCBI's taxonomy places the organism in Eukaryota, Metazoa, Chordata, Mammalia, Rodentia, Muridae. The transcript has 3 exons. The record is from RefSeq and is a predicted model, not a curated record.